GCUUCGUGAAGCCGCUGGGUGGCUGCCCGACUGUCGAUCGGGUGAGACGGGUUCGACUCCCGUACGAAGCG
This 71-nucleotide transfer RNA is filed under the name Myxococcales bacterium. RNAcentral describes it as "tRNA-Asp". It matches the Rfam family "tRNA". From Rfam's summary of the family: Transfer RNA (tRNA) molecules are approximately 80 nucleotides in length. Their secondary structure includes four short double-helical elements and three loops (D, anti-codon, and T loops). The record is from RNAcentral. RNAcentral also lists the same sequence under 1 other name. Lineage: Bacteria; Pseudomonadati; Myxococcota; Myxococcia; Myxococcales.